CUGGAAGAAUCUGGAGACAGGUGCUGCAUGGCUGUCGUCAGCUCGUGUCGUGAGAUGUUGGGUUAAGUCCCGCAACGAGCGCAACCCUUGCCUUUAGUUGCCAGCAGGUUCGGCUGGGCACUCUAAAGGGACUGCCGGUGUUAAACCGGAGGAAGGUGGGGAUGACGUCAAGUCCUCAUGGCCUUUAUGACCAGGGCUACACACGUACUACAAUGGCCGAUACAAAGGGCAGCGACACUGCGAGGUGAAGCCAAUCCCGUAAAAUCGGUCUCAGUCCGGAUUGGAGUCUGCAACUCGACUCCAUGAAGUUGGAAUCGCUAGUAAUCGUGGAUCAGCAUGCCACGGUGAAUACGUUCCCGGGCCUU
This 365-nucleotide ribosomal RNA is filed under the name uncultured Desulfobulbus sp. RNAcentral describes it as "bacterial SSU rRNA". It matches the Rfam family "Bacterial small subunit ribosomal RNA", at positions 1017 to 1382 of the family's 1533-position model. The record is from RNAcentral. Lineage: Bacteria; Pseudomonadati; Thermodesulfobacteriota; Desulfobulbia; Desulfobulbales; Desulfobulbaceae.